UAAUUUUGUAAUUUACCAUGCAUAUGUUUUUUGUGUAAAAUAUAUUGCACAUUGAAUGACAUCAGAUCUAGAAUGUUAUUCCUUCAUUUAGCACAGAGAUUUCAAAAGUGGCAGAUAGAAUUUCUGAGUAGCAGACAAAAGAAAUACUUGCCUGCCACAGUGGCAGGGAGUGAAAAAAGUUAAUUUCAGACCCUGAUCCUACUAAUCUGUUUA
Long non-coding RNA from Sebastes umbrosus (honeycomb rockfish), 213 nucleotides. RefSeq lists it as uncharacterized. The record is from RefSeq and is a predicted model, not a curated record. The transcript has 4 exons. Lineage: Eukaryota; Metazoa; Chordata; Actinopteri; Perciformes; Sebastidae.